This 254-nucleotide ribosomal RNA is filed under the name uncultured Pseudomonas sp. RNAcentral's name for it is "partial 16S ribosomal RNA". It matches the Rfam family "Bacterial small subunit ribosomal RNA", at positions 99 to 354 of the family's 1533-position model. Lineage: Bacteria; Pseudomonadati; Pseudomonadota; Gammaproteobacteria; Pseudomonadales; Pseudomonadaceae. The record is from RNAcentral.
CGGACGGGUGAGUAAUGCCUAGGAAUCUGCCUGGUAGUGGGGGACAACGUUUCGAAAGGAGCGCUAAUACCGCAUACGUCCUACGGGAGAAAGCAGGGGACCUUCGGGCCUUGCGCUAUCAGAUGAGCCUAGGUCGGAUUAGCUAGUUGGUGAGGUAAUGGCUCACCAAGGCGACGAUCCGUAACUGGUCUGAGAGGAUGAUCAGUCACACUGGAACUGAGACACGGUCCAGACUCCUACGGGAGGCAGCAGGC